Molecule: ribosomal RNA, 482 nt
Filed under: Bacillus sp. (in: firmicutes)
Lineage: Bacteria; Bacillati; Bacillota; Bacilli; Caryophanales; Bacillaceae
Description: bacterial SSU rRNA
Rfam family: Bacterial small subunit ribosomal RNA
Source: RNAcentral
AUGGCUCAGGACGAACGCUGGCGGCGUGCCUAAUACAUGCAAGUCGAGCGGACAGAUGGGAGCUUGCUCCCUGAUGUUAGCGGCGGACGGGUGAGUAACACGUGGGUAACCUGCCUGUAAGACUGGGAUAACUCCGGGAAACCGGGGCUAAUACCGGAUGGUUGUUUGAACCGCAUGGUUCAAACAUAAAAGGUGGCUUCGGCUACCACUUACAGAUGGACCCGCGGCGCAUUAGCUAGUUGGUGAGGUAACGGCUCACCAAGGCAACGAUGCGUAGCCGACCUGAGAGGGUGAUCGGCCACACUGGGACUGAGACACGGCCCAGACUCCUACGGGAGGCAGCAGUAGGGAAUCUUCCGCAAUGGACGAAAGUCUGACGGAGCAACGCCGCGUGAGUGAUGAAGGUUUUCGGAUCGUAAAGCUCUGUUGUUAGGGAAGAACAAGUACCGUUCGAAUAGGGCGGUACCUGACGUACCUACCAG